This is a long non-coding RNA of Hylaeus volcanicus, 1399 nucleotides long. RefSeq lists it as uncharacterized. NCBI's taxonomy places the organism in Eukaryota, Metazoa, Arthropoda, Insecta, Hymenoptera, Colletidae. The record is from RefSeq and is a predicted model, not a curated record. The transcript is spliced from 3 exons.
UCCCCGCGGGACUCUAACUUUAUUUUUAACACCGAAACAUUCACGACGAGGCAACCGAAUGCUGGUGAAAAAUACACAAUGAAAGAGCGAGGUAUCCGCGUACCGAGAACUGUUCGUUUUAAGUAACACCGACUCAAGGUGAUCCCAGUUUUACGAAAAACGAUAUAAAAAUUUUGUGAUUUUAACGCACCUUCUUACGGUACAGAUUUGCACGGUGCAUUUUUUCAAUUUAAGUCGAAUUGCAAUUUAGGAAGUUACUGAAAGUUUGAUAUGUUAUAAAACCCGAUAUUAAAAAAAAAAAAAAAAAUAACUCAUAAAUAAUAAUUCACAAAAAUCUGAAACAGAACGCGGCAACAGUCAGCAUUGUUGCAGCAAUCAUUUUGCGAGUAUUACGAAUGCAUGUGUUGAUAUACUUAUUGAUUUAUUAUGGACGUAUGCGAGACCAGUAAGACUGUACUUUUACUAAAGUUCCUAAUUAUACAGGGUGGGUGAAUACCUGUUGGCACGUCAGAUAUCUUCGAAACUACAAGUUUCACAGAAAUAUUUGGUGAAAUAAAAUUGCACAGUACGAAGGGGAUCAUCCUGGUGGCGAUAGUAGUUUUUUAGCAGGUGGAGGAGCUCUUUCCCUUGUACGGGGGCCAACCGUGCCCCAGCGGCGCCAGAAUGCCGUCGUUUCCAUUGGACGCAAAAGUAACCGUCUGGCUUCCUAUCGCACGCGACAUAUAUUAUUUAUUUGUUAGCCAUUAUUCUUGGACGUUUCUCAAGUAACACGGUCCUCUUCUGUUACAAUAGAAGACCUUAAAAUAAAUGUAGGCAAAGAUAAAGUCAAGAAUGCAAAACAACAGGAAGAACGUUCGAAGAAUAAAUGAAUAUCGCGAGCAUAGUCAGCCGGAAAACGUUAAGACCAAGCUCUACGUGCAACGGAGUUUAACGACACAAUAGUCUGUGCAACGAGACUCAACGACACAACACAAUAAGCAACGAUAGGCGACACAAGGCUGGAAUAACGAGGAAAAGACAAAACAUUUGAUCGAAAAGCGCGACUCAAAUGCUCUAUCGGAACAAUGUGGUUCGAGGAACGGAGAUGGUCAGCGUUGAACAGUAGAAACGGUAGAAACGCUUGUGGAAGAAUUGGGAGAACCGUAUCGCCAGCAUCGCGAUCAAGCGGCGAGACCAAAUCAGCGAUGAGUCUCGGCUAAAUGGAAAGCUUCAUAUUGUUUUGAAAGAGGUAAAGGUUCGUAAUGGCUGUAAGGUUUGCUAUGGCCGUAAUAAACCUGGCGUCAGGCGAGAAAGCUCAUACUAUUAUGAUACAUGCCCUAACAAACUGAGAAUCCAUCUCGGGGGAUUGUUUUGUAAAAUAUCAUACAAAAACCAAAUACAAAGUGAAAUAUUUAACAGA